This 475-nucleotide ribosomal RNA is filed under the name uncultured bacterium. RNAcentral describes it as "partial 16S ribosomal RNA". It matches the Rfam family "Bacterial small subunit ribosomal RNA", at positions 28 to 507 of the family's 1533-position model. The record is from RNAcentral.
GAUGAACGCUAGCGGCAGGCCUAACACAUGCAAGUCGAGGGAUAAGCCUUCGGGCUUAGCCCGGCGCACGGGUGCGUUUCGCGUAUACAAUCUGCCUUUUAUCCGGGGGAUAGCCCGAAGACAUUUGGAUUGAUACCCUAUGGUAUAAGCGCCCGGCAUCGUGCACUUAUUACACGUACGGCGGUAAAAGAUGAGUAUGCGUUCUAUUAGCUAGUUGGCGAGGUAACUGCACUCCAAGGCUACGAUAGAUAGGGGUUCUGAGAGGGAUGUCCCCGACACGGGAACGGAGAUACGGACCAGACGACUACGGGAGGGAGCAGUGUGUUAUAUUAGGCAAUGGUCGGAAAACUGAUCCAGCCAUGACGCGUGCAGUAGGGCGGCCUUAUGGGAUGUAAACUGCUUUUGGAAGGGAAGAAUAAUGUGAACGGGGACUUUGAUGACGGUACCUUACGAAUAAGCACCGGCUAACUCCGUG